CCUUCGGCGGUGAUAGCGAGUGGAAGAGGCAGGAGUGACUGGAGCCCGGCGCUCGGGAGGCAAAGCUUGAUCCACCCCUGGGUUAAGGGAAACAGCAAAAGACCCUCCUGGUGGAUCCCCUCCUGUUCUAACCCCAGCUGGCUGGUCCACAUCUGCUGCAUAACCACCAGGGAGCACUCCUGCCUCCCAGAACUUGCUUUCGCCUAGAAGACUAAGCAAGAUCACGUAUAAAUUUGAAAUCUUGA
Molecule: long non-coding RNA, 245 nt
Organism: Leopardus geoffroyi (Geoffroy's cat)
Lineage: Eukaryota; Metazoa; Chordata; Mammalia; Carnivora; Felidae
Exons: 2
Source: RefSeq, a predicted model, not a curated record